RNAcentral lists this ribosomal RNA (492 nucleotides) under uncultured bacterium. Its description in RNAcentral is "partial 16S ribosomal RNA". It matches the Rfam family "Bacterial small subunit ribosomal RNA", at positions 29 to 507 of the family's 1533-position model. The record is from RNAcentral.
AGUGAACGCUGGCGGUAGGCCUAACACAUGCAAGUCGAACGGCAGCACAGUAAGAGCUUGCUCUUACGGGUGGCGAGUGGCGGACGGGUGAGGAAUACAUCGGAAUCUACUUUUUCGUGGGGGAUAACGUAGGGAAACUUACGCUAAUACCGCAUACGACCUACGGGUGAAAGCAGGGGAUCUUCGGACCUUGCGCGAUUGAAUGAGCCGAUGUCGGAUUAGCUAGUUGGCGGGGUAAAGGCCCACCAAGGCGACGAUCCGUAGCUGGUCUGAGGGGAUGAUCAGCCACACUGGAACUGAGACACGGUCCAGACUCCUACGGGAGGCAGCAGUGGGGAAUAUUGGACAAUGGGCGCAAGCCUGACCCAGCCAUACCGCGUGGGUGAAGAAGGCCUUCGGGUUGUAAAGCCCUUUUGUUGGGAAAGAAAAGCAGCAGGUUAAUACCCCGCUGUUCUGACGGUACCCAAAGAAUAAGCACCGGCUAACUUCGUG